Molecule: unclassified non-coding RNA, 253 nt
Filed under: uncultured Bradymonadales bacterium
Lineage: Bacteria; Deltaproteobacteria; Bradymonadales
Description: contains 16S-23S intergenic spacer region
Rfam family: Bacterial small subunit ribosomal RNA
Source: RNAcentral
UACGGAGGGUGCAAACGUUGUUCGGAAUCAUUGGGCGUAAAGCGCGCGUAGGCGGCCAUGCAGGUCGGGUGUGAAAUCCCAGGGCUCAACCCUGGAAUUGCGCUCGAAACCGUGUGGCUUGAGUCCCGGAGGGAGAAGUGGAAUUCCAGGUGUAGGGGUGAAAUCCGUAGAUAUCUGGAGGAACACCAGUGGCGAAGGCGACUUCUUGGCCGAGGACUGACGCUGAGGUGCGAAAGUGUGGGGAGCAAACAGG